ACCCCGGCCCUUUUCAGGGCCACCCACGUCCUUUCGAAAGACCUGU
Molecule: non-coding RNA, 46 nt
Organism: Branchiostoma floridae (Florida lancelet)
Lineage: Eukaryota; Metazoa; Chordata; Leptocardii; Amphioxiformes; Branchiostomatidae
Source: Rfam